UGGGGAAUCUUCCGCAAUGGACGAAAGUCUGACGGAGCAACGCCGCGUGAGUGAUGACGGCCUUCGGGUUGUAAAGCUCUGUUAAUCGGGACGAAAGGCCUUCUUGCGAAUAGUGAGAAGGAUUGACGGUACCGGAAUAGAAAGCCACGGCUAACUACGUGCCAGCAGCCGCGGUAAUACGUAGGUGGCAAGCGUUGUCCGGAAUUAUUGGGCGUAAAGCGCGCGCAGGCGGAUCGGUCAGUCUGUCUUAAAAGUUCGGGGCUUAACCCCGUGAUGGGAUGGAAACUGCCAAUCUAGAGUAUCGGAGAGGAAAGUGGAAUUCCUAGUGUAGCGGUGAAAUGCGUAGAUAUUAGGAAGAACACCAGUGGCGAAGGCGACUUUCUGGACGAAAACUGACGCUGAGGCGCGAAAGCCAGGGGAGCGAACGGGAUUAGGUACCCCGGUAGUCCUGGCCGUAAACGAUGGGUACUAGGUGUAGGAGGUAUCGACCCCUUCUGUGCCGGAGUUAACGCAAUAAGUACCCCGCCUGGGGAGUACGACCGCAAGGUUG
This 550-nucleotide ribosomal RNA is filed under the name uncultured bacterium. RNAcentral describes it as "bacterial SSU rRNA". It matches the Rfam family "Bacterial small subunit ribosomal RNA", at positions 355 to 896 of the family's 1533-position model. The record is from RNAcentral.